CGGGACGGGUGAGUAAUGUCUGGGAAACUGCCUGAUGGAGGGGGAUAACUGCUGGAAACGGUAGCUAAUACCGCAUAACGUCGCAAGACCAAAGAGGGGGACCUUCGGGCCUCUUGCCAUCGGGUGUGCCCAGAUGGGAUUAGCUAGUAGGUGGGGUAACGGCUCACCUAGGCGACGAUCCCUAGCUGGGCUGAGAGGAUGACCAGCCACACUGGAACUGAGACACGGUCCAG
RNAcentral lists this ribosomal RNA (233 nucleotides) under uncultured bacterium. RNAcentral describes it as "partial 16S ribosomal RNA". It matches the Rfam family "Bacterial small subunit ribosomal RNA", at positions 100 to 334 of the family's 1533-position model. The record is from RNAcentral.